CCUACGGGAGGCAGCAGUGAGGAAUAUUGGUCAAUGGCCGAGAGGCUGAACCAGCCAAGUCGCGUGAAGGAAGAAUGUCCUAUGGAUUGUAAACCUCUUUUGUCAGGGAGCAAAGUCACCCACGUGUGGGUGUUUGAGAGUACCUGAAGAACAAGCAUCGGCUAACUCCGUGCCAGCAGCCGCGGUAAUACGGGGGAUGCGAGCGUUAUCCGGAUUUAUUGGGUGUAAAGGGGGCGUAGGCGGGAUAUCAAGUCAGCGGUAAAACCGUGGGGCUCAACUCCAACCAGCCGUUGAAACUGUUGGUCUUGAGUGCGCGAGAAGUAUGCGGAAUGCGUGGUGUAGCGGUGAAAUGCAUAGAUAUCACGCAGAACUCCGAUGGCGAAGGCAGCAUACCGGCGCGCGACUGACGCUGAAGCACGAAAGCGUGGGUAUCGAACAGGAUUAGAUACCCUAGUAGUC
This 459-nucleotide ribosomal RNA is filed under the name uncultured bacterium. RNAcentral describes it as "partial 16S ribosomal RNA". It matches the Rfam family "Bacterial small subunit ribosomal RNA", at positions 338 to 795 of the family's 1533-position model. The record is from RNAcentral.